Long non-coding RNA from Malaya genurostris, 646 nucleotides. RefSeq lists it as uncharacterized. The record is from RefSeq and is a predicted model, not a curated record. The transcript is spliced from 3 exons. Lineage: Eukaryota; Metazoa; Arthropoda; Insecta; Diptera; Culicidae.
UACAAGUCCAAGUAGUUUCACAUUGCAAAGCGUUUCGUCUUUCGAGUUGUUCAUAGUAUACUGAAAAUGUGGCCCCGUCAAGGCAACGGACGACCUUUUGUUAAGAAUUGCCCCUAAGUUUGAACCUUUUGCUUCCCGAACCAUCGGAUGUGUAAAACUUCCACAACUGGAACAGCAAACUAAUCGCAUUCGAUUGAUCAACAAGCAUUCAGGCGAGAAAAAACAACAACUAAUUUCAAAUUAGGAAAGUAAUGAAUACCGUACGGGAUUUUGACCCAAAAUGAAUUCAUUUUUCUUGUUUUCCCCUGUCCGAUCGACCGGCACAGCCUACUGCGGUGCGGUUGAGGGAUUUUCUUUCUUACUCCCUUGCGGUUUCCGCCGCCGGCUCACCAGUUGUUGGUUGGUUGGUUGCAAAGUCCAUCGAUCUUUUCACUUUCAUUUCCCUAUAGUCCCCUCAGCAUCUCACGGAUGGUAGUGAGUAGACCGGGACCGGGAAAGUAUUCCUCGCAACGUUCGGUGCAGACCGCUCGGUAGUAGGCCACAACCACAACAACAGGCCCCAAAGGAACAUGCGUGUUACAUUAACUCACCACUGACAGAACUUCCAGCUGAACGUUCGAUGAUAGCUGCUUGCUUGCAGUACUAA